UAAACGAUGUCAACUAGCUGUUGGGGCCUUCGGGCCUUGGUAGCGCAGCUAACGCGUGAAGUUGACCGCCUGGGGAGUACGGUCGCAAGAUUAAAACUCAAAGGAAUUGACGGGGACCCGCCCAAGCGGUGGAUGAUGUGGAUUAAUUCUAUGCAACGCGAAAAACCUUACCUACCCUUGACAUGUCUGGAAUUCCGAAGAGAUUUGGAAUUGCUCCCAAGAGAACCGGAACACAGGUGCUGCAUGGCUGUCGUCAGCUCGUGUCGUGAGAUGUUGGGUUAAGUCCCGCAACGAGCGCAACCCUUGUCAUUAGUUGCUACGAAAGGGCACUCUAAUGAGACUGCCGGUGACAAACCGGAGGAAGGKGGGGAUGACGUCAAGUCCUCAUGGCCCUUAUGGGUAGGGCUUCCCACGUCAUACAAUGGUCGGGACAGAGGGUCGCCAACCCGCGAGGGGGAGCCAAUCCCAGAAACCCGAUCGUAGUCCGGAUCGCAGUCUGCAACUCGACUGCGUGAAGUCGGAAUCGCUAGUAAUCGCGGAUCACCAUGUCGCGGUGAAUACGUUCCCGGGUCUUGUACACACCGCCCGUCACACCAUGGGAGUGGGUUUACCAGAAGUAGUUAGCC
This 626-nucleotide ribosomal RNA is filed under the name Achromobacter sp. Its description in RNAcentral is "bacterial SSU rRNA". The record is from RNAcentral. Lineage: Bacteria; Pseudomonadati; Pseudomonadota; Betaproteobacteria; Burkholderiales; Alcaligenaceae.